This 433-nucleotide ribosomal RNA is filed under the name uncultured bacterium. Its description in RNAcentral is "partial 16S ribosomal RNA". It matches the Rfam family "Bacterial small subunit ribosomal RNA", at positions 29 to 507 of the family's 1533-position model. The record is from RNAcentral.
AACGAACGCUGGCGGCAUGCCUAACACAUGCAAGUCGAACGAGACCUUCGGGUCUAGUGGCGCACGGGUGCGUAACGCGUGGGAACCUGCCCUUAGGUUCGGAAUAACUCCCCGAAAGGGGUGCUAAUACCGGAUAAUGUCUCCGGACCAAAGAUUUAUCGCCUUUGGAUGGGCGUGCGUUGGAUUAGCUAGUUGGUAGGGUAAAAGCCUACCAAGGCGACGAUCCAUAGCUGGUCUGAGAGGAUGAUCAGCCACACUGGGACUGAGACACGGCCCAGACUCCUACGGGAGGCAGGAGUGGGGAAUAUUGGACAAUGGGCGAAAGCCUGAUCCAGCAAUGCCGCGUGAGUGAUGAAGGCCGUAGGGUUGUAAAGCUCUUUUACCCGGGAUGAUAAUGACAGUACCGGGAGAAUAAGCACCGGCUAACUCCGUG